GAUGAACGCUGGCGGCGUGCCUAAUACAUGCAAGUCGAGCGAACAGAUAAGGAGCUUGCUCCUUUGACGUUAGCGGCGGACGGGUGAGUAACACGUGGGUAACCUACCUAUAAGACUGGAAUAACUCCGGGAAACCGGGGCUAAUGCCGGAUAACAUUUAGAACCGCAUGGUUCUAAAGUGAAAGAUGGUUUUGCUAUCACUUAUAGAUGGACCCGCGCCGUAUUAGCUAGUUGGUAAGGUAACGGCUUACCAAGGCAACGAUACGUAGCCGACCUGAGAGGCGGGUCGGCCACGCUGGAACUGAGACUCGGUCCAGACUCCUACGGGAGGCAGCAGUAGGGAAUCUUCCGCAAUGGGCGAAAGCCUGCCGGGGCAACGCCGCGUGAGUGAUGAAGAUCUUCGGAUCGUAAAACUCUGUUAUUAGGGAAGAACAAAUGUGUAAGUAACUGUGCACGUCUUGACGGUACCUAAUCAGAAAGCCACGGCUAACUACGUG
This 497-nucleotide ribosomal RNA is filed under the name uncultured bacterium. Its description in RNAcentral is "partial 16S ribosomal RNA". It matches the Rfam family "Bacterial small subunit ribosomal RNA", at positions 28 to 507 of the family's 1533-position model. The record is from RNAcentral.